This 253-nucleotide ribosomal RNA is filed under the name uncultured bacterium. RNAcentral's name for it is "partial 16S ribosomal RNA". It matches the Rfam family "Bacterial small subunit ribosomal RNA", at positions 524 to 776 of the family's 1533-position model. The record is from RNAcentral.
UACGAAGGGUGCAAGCGUUAAUCGGAAUUACUGGGCGUAAAGGGUGCGUAGGCGGUUGUUUAAGUCUGUCGUGAAAUCCCCGGGCUCAACCUGGGAAUGGCGAUGGAUACUGGGCAGCUAGAGUGUGUCAGAGGAUGGUGGAAUUCCCGGUGUAGCGGUGAAAUGCGUAGAGAUCGGGAGGAACAUCAGUGGCGAAGGCGGCCAUCUGGUCGGAUACUGACGCUAAAACGCGAAAGCGUGGGGAGCAAACAGG